GUGCUUGCUUCAGCAGCACAUAUACUAAAGUUGGAAUGAUACAGAGAAGAUUAGCAUGGACCCUGCACAAGGAUGACAGACAAAUCUAUGAAAUGUUCUAUAUUUUU
Small nuclear RNA from Otolemur garnettii (small-eared galago), 107 nucleotides. NCBI's taxonomy places the organism in Eukaryota, Metazoa, Chordata, Mammalia, Primates, Galagidae. The record is from Ensembl.